Molecule: ribosomal RNA, 253 nt
Filed under: uncultured bacterium
Lineage: Bacteria
Description: partial 16S ribosomal RNA
Rfam family: Bacterial small subunit ribosomal RNA
Source: RNAcentral
UACGGGGGGGGCAAGCGUUGUUUGGAAUUACUGGGCGUAAAGGGCUCGUAGGUGGCCAACUAAGUCAGACGUGAAAUCCCUCAGCUUAACUGGGGAACUGCGUCUGAUACUGGAUGGCUUGAGUUCGGGAGAGGGAUGCGGAAUUCCAGGUGUAGCGGUGAAAUGCGUAGAUAUCUGGAGGAAGACCAGUGGCGAAGGCGGGUCUCUGGACAGUACCUGACACUGAGACACGAAGGCCAGGGGAGCAAACGGG